AUUUAGGGUUUCGUUCUACACAGCACAUGUGUGGGUACAAUCCUGUUCUGCACUCACACCCCACCCUUGUAUCCUGAAGUAUUGAGAAUAAAGGAUCAGAUGUGAGAAGAAUGGUGGGAGAAAAGGAAUUCACAGAAGGAGAUUGUGACGUUCUGCUCAGGACACGUAGAGCUUACAUUGUCUCUGCCUCAAGAGCCAGGAGGGCUUCCUGAGAUGCAGCCUCUGACAACCAGCAGCUGUAGCCUGAUGCAAAGAGCCAUUUGCAAUGGCCUGAGAAGGAGCAAGACUACAGACCAGGUUAGGAUGGCCGGUCUACCCAUAGCUACUGACAGGUUCACCUUCCUCUCAAUCAAC
Mauremys reevesii (Reeves's turtle) is the source of this 354-nucleotide long non-coding RNA. RefSeq lists it as uncharacterized. The transcript has 3 exons. The record is from RefSeq and is a predicted model, not a curated record. NCBI's taxonomy places the organism in Eukaryota, Metazoa, Chordata, Testudines, Geoemydidae.